GUUAUUCCUAACUGUGCAAAGGUAGCAUAAUCAUUAGUCUUUUUAUUGAAGGCUGGUAUGAAUGGUUGAAUGAAAUAUUAACUGUUUCAAUUUAAUUUUUUAUUGAAAUUAAUUUUUUAGUUAAAAAGCUAAAAUGAGUUUAAAAGACGAGAAGACCCUAUAAAUCUUUAUAAUUNAUGUUUAUUAUUAANUAUUUAGAUAAAUUAAUUUUUAAUAACUUGAAUUAUUUUGUUGGGGUGACAUUAAAAUUUGAUUAACUUUUAGUAUAUNUUUUACACUAAUGAGUGAAUUAUNUGAUCCAUAUNNUAAUGAUUAAAAAUUUAAGUUACUUUAGGGAUAACAGCNGUAAUUUUUUUAGAGAGUUCAUAUUGAUAAAAAAGA
This 381-nucleotide ribosomal RNA is filed under the name Dohrniphora conlanorum. RNAcentral describes it as "partial 16S ribosomal RNA". Lineage: Eukaryota; Metazoa; Arthropoda; Insecta; Diptera; Phoridae. The record is from RNAcentral.